Molecule: non-coding RNA, 101 nt
Filed under: Octodon degus (degu)
Lineage: Eukaryota; Metazoa; Chordata; Mammalia; Rodentia; Octodontidae
Source: RNAcentral
GUGUUGUAUGGAAGGAGACAAGGAUGAAAGAGGCCCUUGGGCCUGAUAACAGGCAAACAGUUAAGACUUUGCCACUUCAUGGCAUCUAACCACCAUUAAAA